This 922-nucleotide ribosomal RNA is filed under the name uncultured Spirochaetota bacterium. RNAcentral's name for it is "bacterial SSU rRNA". It matches the Rfam family "Bacterial small subunit ribosomal RNA", at positions 1 to 916 of the family's 1533-position model. The record is from RNAcentral. Lineage: Bacteria; Pseudomonadati; Spirochaetota.
GGAUCCAGACUUUGAUUCUGGCUCAGGAUGAACGCUAGCUACAGGCUUAACACAUGCAAGUCGAGGGGCAGCGGGAUUGAAGCUUGCUUCAAUUGCCGGCGACCGGCGCACGGGUGAGUAACGCGUAUCCAACCUUCCGUACACUCAGGGAUAGCCUUUCGAAAGAAAGAUUAAUACCUGAUGGUAUGAUGAGAUUGCAUGAUAGCAUCAUUAAAGAUUUAUCGGUGUACGAUGGGGAUGCGUUCCAUUAGGUAGUAGGCGGGGUAACGGCCCACCUAGCCAACGAUGGAUAGGGGUUCUGAGAGGAAGGUCCCCCACAUUGGAACUGAGACACGGUCCAAACUCCUACGGGAGGCAGCAGUGAGGAAUAUUGGUCAAUGGACGAGAGUCUGAACCAGCCAAGUAGCGUGAAGGAUGAAGGUCCUACGGAUUGUAAACUUCUUUUAUAAGGGAAUAAACCCUCCCACGUGUGGGAGCUUGUAUGUACCUUAUGAAUAAGCAUCGGCUAACUCCGUGCCAGCAGCCGCGGUAAUACGGAGGAUGCGAGCGUUAUCCGGAUUUAUUGGGUUUAAAGGGAGCGCAGACGGGUCGUUAAGUCAGCUGUGAAAGUUUGGGGCUCAACCUUAAAAUUGCAGUUGAUACUGGCGUCCUUGAGUGCGGUUGAGGUGUGCGGAAUUCGUGGUGUAGCGGUGAAAUGCUUAGAUAUCACGAAGAACUCCGAUUGCGAAGGCAGCACACUAAUCCGUAACUGACGUUCAUGCUCGAAAGUGUGGGUAUCAAACAGGAUUAGAUACCCUGGUAGUCCACACGGUAAACGAUGGAUACUCGCUGUUGGCGAUAUACUGUCAGCGGCUUAGCGAAAGCGUUAAGUAUCCCACCUGGGGAGUACGCCGGCAACGGUGCAACUCAAAGGAAUUGACGG